Molecule: ribosomal RNA, 370 nt
Filed under: uncultured Arcobacter sp.
Lineage: Bacteria; Pseudomonadati; Campylobacterota; Epsilonproteobacteria; Campylobacterales; Arcobacteraceae
Description: bacterial SSU rRNA
Rfam family: Bacterial small subunit ribosomal RNA
Source: RNAcentral
GUGCUAGCUUGCUAGAAUUUAGAUACAGGUGCUGCACGGCUGUCGUCAGCUCGUGUCGUGAGAUGUUGGGUUAAGUCCCGCAACGAGCGCAACCUCGUGUUUAGUUGCUAACAGUUCGGCUGAGAACUCUAAACAGACUGCCUACGCAAGUAGGAGGAAGGUGAGGACGACGUCAAGUCAUCAUGGCCCUUACGGCCAGGGCUACACACGUGCUACAAUGGGGUAUACAAAGAGCAGCGAUACGGUGACGUGGAGCAAAUCUAGAAAAUGCCUCUCAGUUCGGAUUGUAGUCUGCAACUCGACUACAUGAAGUUGGAAUCGCUAGUAAUCGUAGAUCAGCAAUGCUACGGUGAAUACGUUCCCGGGUCUU